GACGAACGCUGGCGGCGUGCCUAAUACAUGCAAGUCGAACGCUGAAGGAGGAGCUUGCUUCUCUGGAUGAGUUGUGAACGGGUGAGUAACGCGUAGGUAACCUGCCUGGUAGCGGGGGAUAACUAUUGGAAACGAUAGCUAAUACCGCAUAAGAGUAGAUGUCGCAUGACAUUUGCUUAAAAGGUGCAAUUGCAUCACUACCAGAUGGACCUGCGUUGUAUUAGCUAGUUGGUGAGGUAACGGCUCACCAAGGCAACGAUACAUAGCCGACCUGAGAGGGGGAUCGGCCACACUGGGACUGAGACACGGCCCAGACUCCUACGGGAGGCAGCAGUAGGGAAGCUUCGGCAAUGGACGGAAGUCUGACCGAGCAACGCCGCGUGAGUGAAGAAGGGUUUCGGAUCGUAAAGCUCUGUUGUAAGAGAAGAACGAGUGUGAGAGUGGAAAGUUCACACUGUGACGGUAUCUUACCAGAAAGGGACGGCUAACUACGUG
This 495-nucleotide ribosomal RNA is filed under the name uncultured bacterium. RNAcentral describes it as "partial 16S ribosomal RNA". It matches the Rfam family "Bacterial small subunit ribosomal RNA", at positions 28 to 507 of the family's 1533-position model. The record is from RNAcentral.